CUUGGGCGUGCCUGUAGUCCCAGCUACUUGGGAGGCUGAGGUGGGAAGAUCGCUUGAGCCUAGGAGAUCUGGGCUGUACUGUGCUAUGCCCAUUGGGUGUCCGCACUAAGUUCAGCAUCAAUAUGGUGACCUCCCAGGAGUGAGGGACUACCAGGUUGCCUAAGGAGGGGUAAACCGGCCCAGGUUGGAAAUGGAGCAGGUCAAAACUCCUGUGCUGAUCAGUAGUGGGAUUGUGCCUGUGAAUAGCCACUGCACUCCAGUCUGGGCAACAUAGCAAGACCCCAUCUCU
This 289-nucleotide signal recognition particle RNA is filed under the name Cebus imitator (Panamanian white-faced capuchin). Its description in RNAcentral is "Metazoan signal recognition particle RNA (ENSCCAG00000000183.1)". It matches the Rfam family "Metazoan signal recognition particle RNA". From Rfam's summary of the family: The signal recognition particle (SRP) is a universally conserved ribonucleoprotein. It is involved in the co-translational targeting of proteins to membranes. The eukaryotic SRP consists of a 300-nucleotide 7S RNA and six proteins: SRPs 72, 68, 54, 19, 14, and 9. Lineage: Eukaryota; Metazoa; Chordata; Mammalia; Primates; Cebidae. The record is from RNAcentral.